Molecule: ribosomal RNA, 253 nt
Filed under: uncultured bacterium
Lineage: Bacteria
Description: partial 16S ribosomal RNA
Rfam family: Bacterial small subunit ribosomal RNA
Source: RNAcentral
CACGUAGGGCGCAAGCGUUGUCCGGAAUUAUUGGGCGUAAAGAGCUCGUAGGCGGUCUGUUGCGUCCGCUGUGAAAACUCGGGGCUUAACCCCGAGCCUGCAGUGGAUACGGGCAGACUAGAGGUAGGUAGGGGAGAAUGGAAUCCCCGGUGUAGCGGUGAAAUGCGUAGAUAUCGGGUGGAACACCAGUGGCGAAGGCGACUUCCUGGCCUGUUCUUGACGCUGAGGCGCGAAAGCUAGGGGAGCAAACGGG